Beta vulgaris subsp. vulgaris (sugar beet) is the source of this 531-nucleotide long non-coding RNA. RefSeq lists it as uncharacterized. Lineage: Eukaryota; Viridiplantae; Streptophyta; Magnoliopsida; Caryophyllales; Amaranthaceae. The record is from RefSeq and is a predicted model, not a curated record. The transcript has 2 exons.
CGGUUUAAGUUAGACGGUUUGACUUAGAUGUUAGAACAUGAAAGUCAUUUAUAUGGUAAAAGAACAUGAUAUGUUUGUUUGAUGUUUUAUGUGAAAUUAGAAAAGGUUGAUGGCUUUGUGAACUAGAGUUAGUUGUAUCCAAGUCUUUUACUUACGAAGUACACACAUUUAUAUUGUAGAUUCCGGUUUCAUUGAGGAGCCGUAUUGACUGAGCUAGUUGGUUUGAUAUAGUUUAAAAGGUACAUGAAGGCUUAGAGUCGGGGUAUGGGCGGAGAGCAACGUCCACUAGUUUUGCGUAAAUAUAGUUAUAAUAGUUCUGUUCUGGUGCAUUUCUUAUAUAUAAUCAAUAUUUUGAAACUUAGGGUUGUAAAUAUUAAUCCACCUAAAUCUUUAUUCGGUUGGGUUGUAAUAGUUUAAAAUAAGCUUUAAUUUAGUUUUGGUGCAGGUAGUUCUUCCUUAGCGAUUAUUCUCGUAAUAAUCGUGGAAUAACACGUUUGGAUUUCGAGUAGUUAUACCGGAAUUUUGUUGGUA